GGCCCCUGGACAAGACUGACGCUCAGGUGCGAAAGCGUGGGGAGCAAACAGGAUUAGAUACCUGGUAGUCCACGCUGUAAACGAUGUCGAUUUGGAGGUUGUUCCCUGAGGAGUGGCUUCCGGAGCUAACGCGUUAAAUCGACCGCUGGGGAGUACGGCCGCAAGGUUAAAACUCAAAUGAAUUGACGGGGGCCCGCACAAGCGGUGGAGCAUGUGGUUUAAUUCGAUGCAACGCGAAGAACCUUACCUACUCUUGACAUCCAGAGAAUUUAGCAGAGACGCUUUAGUGCCUUCGGGAACUCUGAGACAGGUGCUGCAUGGCUGUCGUCAGCUCGUGUUGUGAAAUGUUGGGUUAAGUCCCGCAACGAGCGCAACCCUUAUCCUUUGUUGCCAGCACGUUAUGGUGGGAACUCAAAGGAGACUGCCGGUGAUAAACCGGAGGAAGGUGGGGAUGACGUCAAGUCAUCAUGGCCCUUACGAGUAGGGCUACACACGUGCUACAAUGGCGUAUACAAAGAGAAGCGACCUCGCGAGAGCAAGCGGAACUCAUAAAGUACGUCGUAGUCCGGAUUGGAGUCUGCAACUCGACUCCAUGAAGUCGGAAUCGCUAGUAAUCGUAGAUCAGAAUGCUACGGUGAAUACGUUCCCGGGCCUUGUACACACCGCCCGUCACACCAUGGGAGUGGGUUGCAAAAGAAGUAGGUAGCUUAACCUUCGGGAGGGCGCUUACCACUUUGUGAUUCAUGACUGGGGUGAAGUCGUAACAAGGUAACCA
This 775-nucleotide ribosomal RNA is filed under the name uncultured Providencia sp. RNAcentral describes it as "bacterial SSU rRNA". It matches the Rfam family "Bacterial small subunit ribosomal RNA", at positions 724 to 1502 of the family's 1533-position model. Lineage: Bacteria; Pseudomonadati; Pseudomonadota; Gammaproteobacteria; Enterobacterales; Morganellaceae. The record is from RNAcentral.